This is a long non-coding RNA of Pongo pygmaeus (Bornean orangutan), 851 nucleotides long. RefSeq lists it as uncharacterized. The record is from RefSeq and is a predicted model, not a curated record. NCBI's taxonomy places the organism in Eukaryota, Metazoa, Chordata, Mammalia, Primates, Hominidae. The transcript is spliced from 4 exons.
GCUCUCUCUCAGGCUCUGGCCAUUGCUGGGGGAGGUCCUUGCCCUACUCUGAUGCUGGCCUCCUGACUUUUGACUUUCUCUGACCCCUUCCAGGCCUUGAAAUCAUGGCAGCAGCAAGACUCAACUGGGGCAGCAUCAUGUCUGUGUUUGAAUCCCGGUUCGGCCACUUUCCAGCUGUGUGAUGUGGGGCAAGUCAGGCUCAGAUCCCACCAGGACUACAACCCUUAGCCCUGUCUGGUCUCCCCUGCAACCCUUGAGGCCACCCUGGAGGCUCAGCCAUCCAUUCACCUCAGAAAGAAGCUGGAAGCUCAAGCCUGACUAUAGGACCAGCACAGCCCCUGGCCAGCCGCAUGCUGCAGAGGCUCUGGCUGACUGUCUCUGCUCGCCUGUUCUGCUGUUUGCAUGUUCUCAGAAUAGGAGACCCCUAAAGACAGAAACUGCAUGUGUCCUGCACAGGAAAUCUUGUAUUGUUGACCCAGCUAGAACCCCACCCCUGGCUCCUGACGCCUCUCCUGCUGGACUCUUCAGCAUGUUGGAUGAAGACCAUCAGUGCUGAACUCACCAUACUCUUCCAAGAUCUGCCUGCUCCUCCCCAUCACCCCAGAGCAAGCCCUUGGCUCCUCUCCCCUUCCUAGAAACUCCCACCAGUGUUGUCAGUUCUCUUGGGUCAUGAUUCCUUAAAAAUGAACACAGAAUCUAAUUUUAUUUUCAAAACAUGAAACCAGUUCACCAUUUAACUUUGCUCUUAUUAAGUCUAUUAUCCUGAUUUAUCCUCUUUGGUAUUAAAGCCAAUAAAUCAUAUAAAUCUUGAAACUUUUUAACUCAGAAAAAUAAACUCUGUUAUGACAAUC